RNAcentral lists this ribosomal RNA (752 nucleotides) under uncultured Enterobacteriaceae bacterium. RNAcentral describes it as "bacterial SSU rRNA". It matches the Rfam family "Bacterial small subunit ribosomal RNA", at positions 1 to 768 of the family's 1533-position model. The record is from RNAcentral. Lineage: Bacteria; Pseudomonadati; Pseudomonadota; Gammaproteobacteria; Enterobacterales; Enterobacteriaceae.
UCGGCUUAGAGUUUGAUCCUGGCUCAGAUUGAACGCUGGCGGCAGGCUUAACACAUGCAAGUCGAACGGUAUGAGUGCUUGCACUUGACGAGUGGCGGACGGGUGAGUAAUGUAUGGGGAUCUGCCGAAUGGAGGGGGACAACAGUUGGAAACGACUGCUAAUACCGCAUAAUGUCGCGAGACCAAAGCGUUUCGACGUACCAUUUGAUGAACCCAUAUGGGAUUAGCUAGUAGGUAGGGUAAAGGCCUACCUAGGCGACGAUCUCUAGCUGGUCUGAGAGGAUGACCAGCCACACUGGAACUGAGACACGGUCCAGACUCCUACGGGAGGCAGCAGUGGGGAAUAUUGCACAAUGGGGGAAACCCUGAUGCAGCCAUGCCGCGUGUAUGAAGAAGGCCUUAGGGUUGUAAAGUACUUUCGGUAAUGAGGAAGGUGACUAUUAACGUAGUUAAUUGACGUUAAUUACAGAAGAAGCACCGGCUAACUCCGUGCCAGCAGCCGCGGUAAUACGGAGGGUGCGAGCGUUAAUCGGAAUGACUGGGCGUAAAGGGCAUGUAGGCGGAUGAUUAAGUUAGGUGUGAAAGCCCCGGGCUCAACCUGGGAAUUGCACUUAAAACUGGUCAUCUGGAGUAUUGUAGAGGAAGGUAGAAUUCCACGUGUAGCGGUGAAAUGCGUAGAGAUGUGGAGGAAUACCGGUGGCGAAGGCGGCCUUCUGGACAGUACUGACGCUGAGAUGCGAAAGCGGGGGGAG